CCCUUGGGGAACCCGGAACCGCAAGCCCCGCCCCGGCAGCUCGAGGCGCGGCGGAAGCCUACAGCUCCCGGCGGGCUCUGCGGCGCGCGGCCCCAGCCGGGCCCGUUCCCAUGGAGACAGCGCUCCGCUAGGCGUACAAAAUGGCGCCCGAGGCGCGAGGCGACUUCGCCUAGAGAGGGCGGGCCAGGCUCCGAUUUUCAUCUGACAUACAAGUAGCCUGGAGAAUAAGCCCAGAAUGAAUAGGAAUGUUUUCCCAAUAGCAUCAGCUUUGUUACUGAAAGAAAAGGAAAUAUUUGGCGCUGCUACAAAAGGAAGGCGAGUGAACUCCUGUGAUGUACUGGAGCUGUCAAUGAGGAAACACCUCGUGCUGCCAAGGAAAUAUUCUACUCAGCAGGACUUAAAAUUUUACCUCAGUUGGCAAAAAAGAACCCAGAGAAUAGAGCACAACUUGACAACUUGUGAAAACGAAUUGGAAAAGGAUAGAUUUCAAUAUUUCCUCAAAGUUGAACAGUAACCUCUGUGAAAUGAAAAAUGUAGUAGUCUUCAGGCAAAUGAGUGAUGGACAUCUGAAGAAAUCACAGAACCAUAGAAAUGAGUGGGCUUCUUCAACAGCAGCCAAGGAAAGUAAGUGAACAUGG
Long non-coding RNA from Tympanuchus pallidicinctus (lesser prairie-chicken), 638 nucleotides. RefSeq lists it as uncharacterized. The record is from RefSeq and is a predicted model, not a curated record. The transcript has 4 exons. NCBI's taxonomy places the organism in Eukaryota, Metazoa, Chordata, Aves, Galliformes, Phasianidae.